Molecule: non-coding RNA, 71 nt
Organism: Podarcis lilfordi (Lilford's wall lizard)
Lineage: Eukaryota; Metazoa; Chordata; Lepidosauria; Squamata; Lacertidae
Source: the annotation of a GenBank genome assembly
GGGCCAUAGGUCAGUGGUAGAGCAUUUGCUUUGCACACAGAUGAUCCUUGGUUCAAUCCCUGGCAUCUCCA